UGUGCACAAAGUAGCCGGAGCUGGUAAUAAAGGCUCGGAUGAAAGCACGCAAAAGAGGACAAAGGGUCAAUGUUAUACAGCUCGAGCGGCCCCCAAAGCUCCACGCUGACAGCAGAGAGGAGGAGGAGGAACCUCUUGCAAAGCUCCUUCGUGUGGAGCAGUCUCGGAGUCGAGGGGGACCGUUUUAGGAAGCAGAGCCAACUUUCCUUUAACUUCAAAUUACCCGAGGCAAGACUGUUCUCCAAACCCCGGUACAGCAGAGGAGGACACUAAAAAUAAAACUACUGGGGCAGG
Long non-coding RNA from Mastomys coucha (southern multimammate mouse), 294 nucleotides. RefSeq lists it as uncharacterized. The record is from RefSeq and is a predicted model, not a curated record. The transcript has 2 exons. Lineage: Eukaryota; Metazoa; Chordata; Mammalia; Rodentia; Muridae.